AAAAUAAGAUGAAAUAAAAUAAGUUGAAUGAGCUGCAGGUUUUCUUUUUUUGAGAAGGUCGUUAUAAAUAUUUCAGGUUUUUUUGUGGAAUUGGAACCAUAGUAUUAUCUCAUCCACUCUUUAUUUGCAUUUAAGAAAAUCUCAUCUCUGAUGUUUUGGUAUUGUCUUUCACUGCAGUAGGUAAACAGCAAAGACUGCCCCCGCUGUACAUUGGUAUUGCCCUCAUAUUUUUUUUGUUUUGUUCAUAGUCAUCAUUUGGCAGAACUCAGGGGACGCACAGUUCUUCCCCUCCUUUUUCUUUUUCUCAGCUCUGUGGCCUGGACUCAGUUUCUCAGGAGCAGGGAGGAGAGGUGGAGGAACUGUGCCACUGUUCCUUUGUCUGGGCUUGUUGUUCACCCUCAGGCAGAUUUCAUCUGCAGUCACCUACCCAAGACUUCCAUUUCAUCUGCUUUUUGAUCUGAUGUGCUGUAAUGAGGGGAAAGGACCGAAAACCACCAUCAGCACACCCGUAAAGCCCUGUCCCUGUCCCAGUGCAGCCCUGGGAGAAGACACCAGACCUCCAGCCAGGGUGCCAGGCUGCAAGUCAUGGCAGCACACAGCCUUGCUUGGGUUAAUCUGCUUUCUUCCUAUUAGCCCACGGGAGCUUUGCAGUGUCCCCUGUAGCUGGGCUGCUGGGGACAUCUCUGCCCUGUGCUGUAGGAACCUCAUGGUUCCCGUGACAGCUCUGGGUUCGUGGCUGUGCCUGCACAUCACCCAGUAAUGCUCAAAGUGUGUUUCAGUCCAGGUUGUGACCCUGUGAAACUGGAAAGAGUUUAAUUAUUUUUCUCUCCAUUUCUGGUGUAUUUAGCACUGCAGAAUGCUUCUUCCUGUGUGACUUUGUACUUCUGCAUUGGGCAAAUGCUUGGAAUAUUAUUGACAGUCUUUCCAAAACUAUUCAUCAUUUGAGAGCUGUAGGAGCAUUAAGGAUAUGUGUCUUUAUUAGUCAGAGGAGAGAAUGGGCAAGUCUUUACCAAAUAUUUGAGCCUGGAAACUUUCACAUUUCUGGCUAUCCAGAGUGCCAUUCUGUAAUGCAACUACAACCAGUGAAGCAUUACAUUUCACUGGGUAUUUCAUAGUCCUAAAGUUGUAACAUGUGGCCGCCAGAAACUUUUGACUUUCCUUCUUGAUGCAGGCAUUCAAGCAUUAAAUUUGUUUCAAGUUCAGUGUUAGCUUAUAUAUUUCUCCUGAGUUCCCAUUCUUGUUCCCCUCAGCUGUGCUGAUUUAGCCACUUGUGGUUUGGUAGGAUGAGCUGGGUCAUGAAGUUUUACACAGAAAGACAGAAAAAAGAAAAUUCACUUUCCAUGUGCAAAGGGUGUAUAUAUAAGAUAGGUUGUGGUAGUGUUCCUUGACACCAGAAAUGCUCAAGAAACCAUUUCUUCAGGGAAUGCUAUUACUACAAAUUAAAAUAAUUAAUUUACUGAGAUGCUGCUCCUGUUCUUCCUCUUAGGCUCUGCAGACCCUUCCACUUCAAGCUCCCUAUGCUUUGAGGUACAAACUGUGUAGCCUAGCUGUUGGUAUGGAUGAGUAUUUUCUAACUACUAACCGUGUUCCCUCUCCAAAAAAAGUAAUUUUCAGCUGAGUUCAUGAUGGAGGUGUUUCUACCUGCCCUGAGUUAUAUAUACUGUUUAUCAGGAAUUAAACACCUUUCUUAAAUCACUGAACCUCCCUCCCUGACUGUGGACUUUGAUGUGAUCACCCUCACAGUCAGCACUGGGGCUGGACUUGUCUUGUACAAUCACAGAAUGGUUUGGGUUGGAAAGGACUUUAAAAAUCACACCAACAGGUCGCUGUCUUUCCUGUUCUGGGGACCCCAGAGCUGGGUGCAGCACUGCAGGUGGGGUCUCAUCAGAAUGAAGAAAGAGGCAGAAUCACCUCCCUCUACCUACUGGCCAACCCUUUCUUGAUGCAGCCCAGGAUUCAAUUGGCUUUCUGGGCUGUGAGCACACAUUGCUGGCUCAUGUCUUUGUGCUGGUUUGCUCUGUGGAAGCUCCUCACCAUUGAGUUCGAUCUCAUUUAGGUGAGCAGUUCAUUUCCCAGGCAGUAGGUGUCAUUCCUGCAACUUGAGAUCUCACAGUUGUAUUUCUGUCUUUCUUUGGCUUCGUGUAGGUGUCAGGAUGGAUAGACAUCUUUUUCUGUGAAAAGAGAGUAAAAUAGAAAAUGAAAAAAAAAGCAAGCUGUGUAGUACUGUGAUUCUUGCUGUGCCACGGGUGCAGGCACAGGGAAAUGCUCCAGCAGUUUGUGUUUCUGCAGCAAGGCUGGUCAGACCCAGUCCUUGUUGUGGGGGUGAGCUCCAUGGUGCAGGCAUGCUGUACCUCCUGGGCUGGUCUGCAGCUGCUAAAUCUCUUAGCCUUUUUGGCAUCAUUGCUUUAUCUGCUGGAGGAUGAAAAUUCUUACCUGAGAGGGAAUUAAGAUGUUAAGUAGCUGGGUCUCAGUCUAGCACUGGAUUUAAGGCUUAAGUUUGGUCCUGUUGAAGUCCUUGCUUUGCUGGAUUGAAAUCUCCUGUUCAAAAAGCGAUUCUGAGGAUGACAACCAUCUUUGUAGUAAAUGUUAAGCAUUACAGCAAAGUUCAUUAUGUAUUGCCAUCCAUUCAUUCCUUCUUCCCCUUUCUUCUUUUCCCAUUCCCAUCAUUCGCUGCUUCUUAGCAUGUGUGUAACUUCCUUCCUUUAUCCCUUGCCAGUAAGCCACUCCCCCAGUAAUGAGGAGAUCUAGAAAAUCCAGUGAAAUGGCAUUAACAAGAAGCAGGGCCGUGGCCACCAUAAUCCCUUUAAUUGCAUGUUAAUGCUUUUCUUUCCAGAGCUGUACACAUUUUGGGAGCUGGCUGCAGUGAUGUUCCAAGCGUGUGUGUCUGCAUGCAACAGGAACAGCUAAACACACCCAGGGCUGCUGAGUGCUCAUGAUGAGAGGAUAGCUUAAAUAAGUAAAUUCAAGUCCAAAAGCUGCAGUUGGAUCUGUCUGUUACAUGUCUGCUGGAUGAGUAGGAAUAUGUCUUCAGCACUGAACAGACUGUCACUGCUCAAUUCAUGGUUCAUGGUCCAGAGGACAUCAAAAGAGAGAUCAAAAAUUGUCUACAAAAAUUUAAAAAAUCGGAAAAAAGUUUAAAAUCAUCCCCAUAUGCACAUAUUUCAUGCAGUUUGUAUGUGUGUACCUAUCUCUGUUAGCUCCUUACUGUUCUUAUUAGCCACUUAAAAUACUUUUGAUACUAAAAUUAAUUUAUUACAUGGCUCUGUUUUGUCUGUCAUUCUAGGUCCCACCUGCCAAACAGUAGUGAGAUUUGAGAUAAUCUGUGAAUUUCUUUUUGAAAAGUAUUUUUAAUUUAAAAUGAGAGGAGUACUGGACGAGUAUAUUUUGACAGAAUGAGGUAGCUUUAAUAUUAUGACUUCAUCAUGAGUUAGUGUUGAGUGCUGCAACCCAUUUGCAUGCUAUCUUUCUUUUCAUUAACUAAAUACAUCACCUAGGUGAAUAUAAGUCUGUUUUUGAUCCCACAGUUGUUGAAAAGUAAGGGUUUUAUCAUCCAAAUAAAGCAGCCUUCUCAGGCAAUAAAUUUCUUUGACUGUUUAGUAAGUAGAAGAGAGAAGAAUGAACUUACAUGUUCAUUUUACCUGUAUGCUUAAUAAAAUGUCCUUUAUCUGUCCCUGUUUGUUGUCUUGCUUGUCUGGUAAUAAGAGCCAUCUUUGAGUAGGUGAGACAAGGAGUUACAUCUCUUCAUCACACUUUGGCAGGUGCAGUAUUGCCCAUUAGAGGUGCUGCUUUGUCAGCUGUCACCAAAGUGAUCCACAGCUCCCAACACCAGCUCAGAUUCCGCUGGUAGCCCAGUGUUGUGAUGGAUCCUCCUACAGCCUGCCCGGCUGCCUCUUGGCUUUGUGUUUAUUUGUUUUCAUUGGUGCUGAACUGUCAGACUUUAGCUCACAGCACUCAGAACCACACACAGCUGUCUCCAAGGCUGCUGGGGUGAGGGGUGAUGCCCAGGGAUGUCUGGUUCAUCCCACACCCAGGAGCAGUCCAGAGGCACUUGCCUGUACCUGCAGGUCAGCCCAGAGCCAUCAGCCUCCAUCCUUGGGGGUUCCAGCUGCUCACAUCUAAUGCUGGAGGCAGGGACAAAGCUGGCUGAUGCUACGGCAUUCAGGCCUUAAUCUUGAAAGGACUUGUGCGCAUUCCUGACCUUAUUAGUGGGAGCAGCAUCCUUGGUGCUUGUGACCCUAAUGGCUGUUUGCUGAGACCACUGACCGUGAUAAAUGUCUCCUCAUCAUCCUUUUGCUUCAGAGAUUUGGACACCUUUUGUGACCCUUCAAAGAUGAUAAUCCUGAGUGGACACUGGAAAACAAACAACACAGCUGAAGGUUCCCUGAAAAAUAUAUAAAGGUAUGCCUGGGUAUUAAAGGUUAAGCUUGACCUUGCUAGACCCUUGUCUUUUAUUUGAAUGCAGUAGGAUUAUAAUCUAAUAUCAAUUUCCCUCUCUGAUUCCCCAACACCCAUCUCAGUAUGAUAGGCCUGAACUGCAGUUCACUUUCACAGAUGGUACCUGCAUCACAGAAAAUAUUAGAUGACUGGUGCCCUAAAUACGACAGAGUGCAUUUGUCUACACAUCUGUGUAGACAGAAAAAUCUUUUUAAUGGUAAAAAGCAUAGUCACAUAAGAGGAAUGUGAAGGGAGUUUGCUAGAAGACUCAGGGGUGACUUUUUAAGUGUUGGAGCAGGGUAAGCAAAAUGAGAAGACCUUGAAACUGUGAAUAAACAUGGCAACUCAAUUUAACAUGUCUGCCUGAAGAAGCAGGCUUUUAUGUUUUUUUGUUAUUUUAUUACAAACAAGAACUUUGAUAACUGCUGUGUUUUCUCAACAGUAAAAAACACGUCAAAUAUUUUUGUGACCUGCUAUUUGAAAAAUAACCACAUCAAAUGCUUCAGCUUCCUUGAGGAUUGUUGCAUUUUCCUUCAGGACAUGCAUUUCUCAUGGCCCAUCGGCAUCUGUUCAGUCCUUGCAGUGCAGGAGGAUGAAGUGAAGACUCCCAGGGUCUGAUUUUCUCUCCAGCCUCCAGGCACCAGAGGAACUUUAGUGAAGACAGAGGCAGGAAACUUUAGUGAAGACAGAACCUUCAUGGAAACUGAGCAUGCAGCAGCCCUGGCAGUGUGUCCUCACUGGGAUACACAGCUUUGAGUACCCCUUUCCUGGGGGUGAACUCAUUGACAGCUCAAAACUGCUGAUUAUGGAGGGAAUUUUUGCAGCAUCUCCUCAGGAUUUUGCUGUCUGUCUCUAUUCUAAAGCUGUCUGAGCAAGGAUUUGAAGGAAAACUAAUCCUAAUCACCAAAAAUGUGAAUGUAAAAUAAAUUAGGUAAACUAAAUCAAACCAUUUUAUAUAUAUUAUCUGAUUCAGCAUUCAUGUGACCUUAAUUUGAUUAAGUUUAAUUCACCAAAUAUGAAAGAGGGUUGAUUUAAUUAAUAAUGAGUGUGUCUGCAGGGAUCUAGUGUGGUUUCAUUCAUUACAGAAAUGUUAAUUCAGAUUACCUUUCUAGAGUUUUCUCAUGCAGAUAAACCUUACAGGACAGUUUAUUAGUUAGGCCUAAACUAGUGUAAUUGUGUGUUUAUUCCCCCUUGGCUCUAGAAGGACUUUCCCACUGCUCUCCUCUUGUGGUAAUUCCAUGAGCAUUUUGUUGUGGGAUGUUUUGUUAAUCUGUUAAUCCAGGCAAAGGAAAUUCAUCAGUUUUCUGUUGGUUUAGUCACCUUUUCACCUGAUUUGUGGCUGCAUGGUGCUUCACAGGCGAAGACAGGAGUGUGAAUGUUUGAUCAAGGUGGAGAGGGUGGGAACUCACUUCAGGUCAAACCCUUUGUGCAAGAGACACCCUGCUUGCACCCACACUGCUGGGCUACACAGCACAUGGACAGAAGAAAUGAGCUUUGCUGGAGUUGUUUAAAGUCACAAACCACCAAUUUUGAUUUUCUUGGUGUUUUGGUACAAGUGUGAUGUGUUUCUUGGCUUUGGCUUGUACUCCUUCCCUCUGGCUUUUUGUCUCCUUUGUGCCUCAGUAGUACAGAGCAGCAUCACCCCAGGAGCUCAUGCCCUCAA
Taeniopygia guttata (zebra finch) is the source of this 6097-nucleotide non-coding RNA. Lineage: Eukaryota; Metazoa; Chordata; Aves; Passeriformes; Estrildidae. The record is from RefSeq and is a predicted model, not a curated record.